AGAGUUUGAUCCUGGCUCAGGAUGAACGCUAGCUACAGGCUUAACACAUGCAAGUCGAGGGGCAGCAUGGUCUUAGCUUGCUAAGGCCGAUGGCGACCGGCGCACGGGUGAGUAACACGUAUCCAACCUGCCGUCUACUCUUGGACAGCCUUCUGAAAGGAAGAUUAAUACAAGAUGGCAUCAUGAGUCCACAUGUUCACAUGAUUAAAGGUAUUCCGGUAGACGAUGGGGAUGCGUUCCAUUAGAUAGUAGGCGGGGUAACGGCCCACCUAGUCUUCGAUGGAUAGGGGUUCUGAGAGGAAGGUCCCCCACAUUGGAACUGAGACACGGUCCAAACUCCUACGGGAGGCAGCAGUGAGGAAUAUUGGUCAAUGGGCGAGAGCCUGAACCAGCCAAGUAGCGUGAAGGAUGACUGCCCUAUGGGUUGUAAACUUCUUUUAUAAAGGAAUAAAGUCGGGUAUGCAUACCCGUUUGCAUGUACUUUAUGAAUAAGGAUCGGCUAACUCCGUGCCAGCAGCCGCGGUAAUACGGAGGAUCCGAGCGUUAUCCGGAUUUAUUGGGUUUAAAGGGAGCGUAGAUGGAUGUUUAAGUCAGUUGUGAAAGUUUGCGGCUCAACCGUAAAAUUGCAGUUGAUACUGGAUGUCUUGAGUGCAGUUGAGGCAGGCGGAAUUCGUGGUGUAGCGGUGAAAUGCUUAGAUAUCACGAAGAACUCCGAUUGCGAAGGCAGCCUGCUAAGCUGCAACUGACAUUGAGGCUCGAAAGUGUGGGUAUCAAACAGGAUUAGAUACCCUGGUAGUCCACACGGUAAACGAUGAAUACUCGCUGUUUGCGAUAUACUGCAAGCGGCCAAGCGAAAGCGUUAAGUAUUCCACCUGGGGAGUACGCCGGCAACGGUGAAACUCAAAGGAAUUGACGGGGGCCCGCACAAGCGGAGGAACAUGUGGUUUAAUUCGAUGAUACGCGAGGAACCUUACCCGGGCUUAAAUUGCAGAUGAAUUACGGUGAAAGCCGUAAGCCGCAAGGCAUCUGUGAAGGUGCUGCAUGGUUGUCGUCAGCUCGUGCCGUGAGGUGUCGGCUUAAGUGCCAUAACGAGCGCAACCCUUGUUGUCAGUUACUAACAGGUUCUGCUGAGGACUCUGACAAGACUGCCAUCGUAAGAUGUGAGGAAGGUGGGGAUGACGUCAAAUCAGCACGGCCCUUACGUCCGGGGCUACACACGUGUUACAAUGGGGGGUACAGAGGGCCGCUACCACGCGAGUGGAUGCCAAUCCCAAAAACCUCUCUCAGUUCGGACUGGAGUCUGCAACCCGACUCCACGAAGCUGGAUUCGCUAGUAAUCGCGCAUCAGCCACGGCGCGGUGAAUACGUUCCCGGGCCUUGUACACACCGCCCGUCAAGCCAUGGGAGCCGGGGGUACCUGAAGUGCGUAACCGCGAGGAGCGCCCUAGGGUAAAACUGGUGACUGGGGCUAAGUCGUAACAAGGUAGCC
Molecule: ribosomal RNA, 1489 nt
Filed under: uncultured bacterium
Lineage: Bacteria
Description: bacterial SSU rRNA
Rfam family: Bacterial small subunit ribosomal RNA
Source: RNAcentral